Suricata suricatta (meerkat) is the source of this 918-nucleotide long non-coding RNA. RefSeq lists it as uncharacterized. The record is from RefSeq and is a predicted model, not a curated record. Lineage: Eukaryota; Metazoa; Chordata; Mammalia; Carnivora; Herpestidae. The transcript is spliced from 4 exons.
GGACCGGGUGGCUGCCAGGUAGUGCUUUGAACCUCGGAGGGUUUAUAGUCCCUGAGGUCUCAUUGACCUGUCCCCAGAGUGAGGGACUGCCCCGGUAAACAGCACUAGGACUCUUUGCUUAUCUGGCCUCGAGGGUUCGCGCGUCAUGGUGCACCGCCCACUUGGUUCCCAGGUUAGGAGUGGGCCCUCUACGCUGCAGGAUUCGGUGUGAACGCUGGAAUUUAGUGAUGAGUCAUCUUCGGUACAGCAAUUCCAGGAAUGUAAAGGCCCGGGAUUAACCAGGCCGACUUCAAAAUGCAAAGACAGCUGGACCAGAAUAGAAAAUCACAACCCCUGGAUCCUACCUUGGGUUCUCUUAUUAAAUAAACCUUUGUCCUUGGACAAGGGAUUUGAUUUGUUUCUCCAUCCAUAAAGUAUGGAUAAUACUUGCCCUGUUUAAUCUACAAGGUUCAUUUCUUUUUUAAGCAUGAUAAAACUACCUCUGGAUUCAGAUAGGCGUUCUGAAGCCCUGCUUUCAUUACUUCAAUCCAUCUCUCUCCCUCCUCCGCUGACCCCUGUCUCCUGCUGGUUACCAGAUGAAGAAUGUCUUGCUUUUUGGUGAGCAUCAAUAUAUUGCUGCUGGUUCAUGAUGCAGGCAAUGUUGAAGAACAGAUGGGAAAAUCUAACAGUUCAACAAAUUGUAAAGCAUUGUUUACGUUUUAAAUGAGAACCACUACCUCUACCCCCAAUUUGGUUUGUCUAUUUGAGUAUAUACUAAUUACACUUGUUCACACUUAUGCUUUGAACUUAUCUAACUGAAACAAAAAUAUCUAGACAUUCUUCCCCACUUCACGUCCCUCUGACAAGUGUCGAUUUCAGGUAGUGUAUCACAGAAUAUUUGAUAUCAGACCUGUCCUGAAAGACCUGGAUGGGCAGUCA